GCCAUGCCGCGUGUGUGAGAAGGCCUUCGGGUUGUAAAGCACUUUCAGUCGUGAGGAAGGUAGUGUAGUUAAUAGCUGCAUUAUUUGACGUUAGCGACAGAAGAAGCACCGGCUAACUCCGUGCCAGCAGCCGCGGUAAUACGGAGGGUGCGAGCGUUAAUCGGAAUUACUGGGCGUAAAGCGCAUGCAGGUGGUUUGUUAAGUCAGAUGUGAAAGCCCGGGGCUCAACCUCGGAAUUGCAUUUGAAACUGGCAGACUAGAGUACUGUAGAGGGGGGUAGAAUUUCAGGUGUAGCGGUGAAAUGCGUAGAGAUCUGAAGGAAUACCGGUGGCGAAGGCGGCCCCCUGGACAGAUACUGACACUCAGAUGCGAAAGCGUGGGGAGCAAACAGGAUUAGAUACCCCAGUA
RNAcentral lists this ribosomal RNA (408 nucleotides) under Vibrio alginolyticus. RNAcentral's name for it is "bacterial SSU rRNA". It matches the Rfam family "Bacterial small subunit ribosomal RNA", at positions 391 to 792 of the family's 1533-position model. Lineage: Bacteria; Pseudomonadati; Pseudomonadota; Gammaproteobacteria; Vibrionales; Vibrionaceae. The record is from RNAcentral.